GUGUUUGGUCGACAUUUCCCAGGAGUCAAAAGGGGUUCUACCAAGUGAACCCUAAAUCCACAAAAUUGAUCAAAAUCAAGGAGAAAUCAAGCCAAGAAUUUGGGGUUUUUAAUAAAAUCGUGAUCACCAAGCUUAGGGGAUCACAAGUCAUGCAUGAAUGAAUUCUUUUUGACGAUUAACAAGCCAGGUGAAAGCUUGGGAACGAAGCGGGUCAAACAAAGCAAGAAUGACGGAAAAGCAUAAUUCGGAUGCAAGGUAAGUUAAAGCUUACACCUUUCUAUUUAAUAUCUAUUGGUCUUAUAGAUUAUGAAUAAUUAAAAGUCAUAUUCGACUUAUGAUGUUUCAACCCGACAUGCGCGGUUCGGAACAAAAGACAACAAUGAUAAACCAUGUUGGAUAGUUAAAAGAGCUAAUAAUGUCAUUUAGUCAUGCAAUGACUAAUAAAUAACGAGUUUUGAAUGAUUAUCUUAUAAGGUAAAUCAAUACAAUUAAUAAGGGUAAAACGGCAAUGUGGUCACUCGUUGACGAUAACCGUUAGUUUUGAAGGACACUUUUUGGCGUAUGAUAUAAAGGGGUCAAAAUAAUCAAGAAAUAGAUUUAUAAGUAAAAUUGACCGUACGGUGUAAACCGGUACAAGUCAUGUAGACGAGAUAAUAAUAAAUCCAUCUCGCAAAAGUAAACGGUCAUAUAGACCAAACGGGUCAAAAGGUGAAAAUGUCACCCUUUGACAAUAUCGGCUAAUGUUUUGUCGAGUUGCAUGAUUACAGGAAUAAAUAUCGAUUAAAUGAUUGACAACGCUAUUACUUAGCGGCUACUAAGGCAAGGUACUAAAACGGGUCAAUAUGUUGAUCCGAGCCAGGUACGCAUAAUUAUGUUGUAGUUAGUAGUGCUUUUUGGUCAAAUAAUUGGUGAGAGUCAUUCGUCGUAAAAGAAGGACCAAAAUCGACCAAAAUGCCCUUGUAGGCUAAAUUGAACAAACAACCCUUAAAGGUUGUUUGGAAACGUAUUUCAUGAUUAGAAAAAUACUUAGAAUAAGUAUAGAAGUUGAGAGAUGUAAUAUGUUAGUCAAAUAGCUCUAUUUGAGUCUUGCCGUAAAAUAACGAUCCGGAGGGCAAAACUCGGAACAUAUAGAUAUACACAUUGUAAUCCAACACACAAGUAGUUGUAGUUGAAGAUUACUUGAUAGGAAACGUAGGAAUAAAAUGCUAGAAAUAAACGAAAGCGGUUUCAAGCUUUAAGAUGCGUAAAUACCCUUAACGGGUCAAAAUAAGCAUACGAGUGAAAACGGGUUUAAAUUAUGUAAUAAACCUGUUACUAGAACCUAAAAUGGUAGAUAACAUUAGUUUGAAGAAGUGUAUGUGUUAUAGGGAUCAAACAAAUACGUUUGUUUGAUAAAAUCACGAACGGGUCAAAUUUUUGGUAAAAGAGUAAUAAGCCGAAGACUUAAAAGUCUUGAAUUUUAUUAAUCCGGAUAUUGGAUCUUAACUCCGUUAGAUGGAGAAUUAAAUUACGAGCGCGUAGGAAAAAGAAUCGCGUAAAACGGACAAGCGGAUUGAAAGAUACGGAAGUUUCCGUGUCCAUAAACGGCAAAAUGGAAAAGCUGAUGCAGGGGCCACCGUAAAUUACGGUGUCCACCGUAAUUUACGGUGGAGGCUGAAUUUCUUUACGGCAGUUCUCCCCUGCCUUACGGUGGGGAUAUGUUAUAACAGGGCUACCGUAAAUUACGGUGUCCACCGUAAUUUACGGUGGACCCUGUACAAAAAUGUAUUUUUGAUCAGUUUUGUUUCCCGGGCUCGUUUAGAUACGUUUUAAAUCCCGUAUGACUAAAGCAUUUCAUGUUUUUAUGAAAUGUAGGUACUUUGUGGAUGCCGGAAGAAGAUCAAGCUCAACGUAGAACCGAACACGAAUAAGACACAUGCUUCCGCACUUGGCCUCGUCAUAAAUUUUAAAAGACGAAUCUGAUUAAGUUAUGUCAAAUAACUUUUGAUUGCGAAAAGUUUUAAUAAACCCAUAUUUCCAAUGUAUAUGUAAUCUUAAUUACAUGAUUGUUU
RNAcentral lists this long non-coding RNA (2051 nucleotides) under Helianthus annuus (common sunflower). Its description in RNAcentral is "hypothetical non coding rna". Lineage: Eukaryota; Viridiplantae; Streptophyta; Magnoliopsida; Asterales; Asteraceae. The record is from RNAcentral.